CUUUACAACCAUUAACAAUUUAAAAUUAACUGUGAUUCCUCACAAUAAGGCUUUCUAUCUAUAUCCAUCACUAUCUGGGAUUCCCCUGAUUGAAUGGGAUCGAAGAGGCAUGACUGCGUCUGUGAGCUCCAUGGACUUUAUGUGGACCUGCUAAAAGAAGAUAAACUGACGGUGAUUAAGUAUUUCUCUAUACUACCUGUCAACAACUCUUCAUUUUAUGAAGCCAGGUAGGGGACAAGACUGUUGGCCAUCGGAGUAUUCCGUCUUUCUGAGCCCUGUAGCUGCAACUAAAGAGUGGAGAAAGUUAAGUACUAGAAUUUAAGACUAUUAUCAUCAUCCUUUCCUGGGACUUUGCCUCUGUCCUAGCAAUUACAGGCCUAUAUAUAAAGUCUUAGUCUCUCCCUUAUUCCCUUUUUCUAGUUGAGAUUGCUCUGUUUAAUCAAAGCCUGUUUCCAUGGUUAUUGUGAAGAUUCAAAGAGAUUUUAUACACACA
RNAcentral lists this long non-coding RNA (493 nucleotides) under Phascolarctos cinereus (koala). Its description in RNAcentral is "lncRNA (ENSPCIG00000024276.2)". Lineage: Eukaryota; Metazoa; Chordata; Mammalia; Diprotodontia; Phascolarctidae. The record is from RNAcentral.